Molecule: ribosomal RNA, 474 nt
Filed under: Salmonella enterica subsp. enterica serovar Mbandaka
Lineage: Bacteria; Pseudomonadati; Pseudomonadota; Gammaproteobacteria; Enterobacterales; Enterobacteriaceae
Description: bacterial SSU rRNA
Rfam family: Bacterial small subunit ribosomal RNA
Source: RNAcentral
CUGCAUGGCUGUCGUCAGCUCGUGUUGUGAAAUGUUGGGUUAAGUCCCGCAACGAGCGCAACCCUUAUCCUUUGUUGCCAGCGAUUAGGUCGGGAACUCAAAGGAGACUGCCAGUGAUAAACUGGAGGAAGGUGGGGAUGACGUCAAGUCAUCAUGGCCCUUACGACCAGGGCUACACACGUGCUACAAUGGCGCAUACAAAGAGAAGCGACCUCGCGAGAGCAAGCGGACCUCAUAAAGUGCGUCGUAGUCCGGAUUGGAGUCUGCAACUCGACUCCAUGAAGUCGGAAUCGCUAGUAAUCGUGGAUCAGAAUGCCACGGUGAAUACGUUCCCGGGCCUUGUACACACCGCCCGUCACACCAUGGGAGUGGGUUGCAAAAGAAGUAGGUAGCUUAACCUUCGGGAGGGCGCUUACCACUUUGUGAUUCAUGACUGGGGUGAAGUCGUAACAAGGUAACCGUAGGGGAACCUGC